This 492-nucleotide ribosomal RNA is filed under the name uncultured bacterium. RNAcentral's name for it is "partial 16S ribosomal RNA". It matches the Rfam family "Bacterial small subunit ribosomal RNA", at positions 29 to 507 of the family's 1533-position model. The record is from RNAcentral.
AGUGAACGCUGGCGGUAGGCCUAACACAUGCAAGUCGAACGGCAGCACAGUAAGAGCUUGCUCUUACGGGUGGCGAGUGGCGGACGGGUGAGGAAUACAUCGGAAUCUACUUUUUCGUGGGGGAUAACGUAGGGAAACUUACGCUAAUACCGCAUACGACCUACGGGUGAAAGCAGGGGAUCUUCGGACCUUGCGCGAUUGAAUGAGCCGAUGUCGGAUUAGCUAGUUGGCGGGGUAAAGGCCCACCAAGGCGACGAUCCGUAGCUGGUCUGAGAGGAUGAUCAGCCACACUGGAACUGAGACACGGUCCAGACUCCUACGGGAGGCAGCAGUGGGGAAUAUUGGGCAAUGGGCGCAAGCCUGAUCCAGCCAUGCCGCGUGGGUGAAGAAGGCCUUCGGGUUGUAAAGCCCUUUUGUUGGGAAAGAAAAGCAGCAUAAUAAUACCCCGCUGUUCUGACGGUACCCAAAGAAUAAGCACCGGCUAACUUCGUG